UUAAAGAGUUCUAUAACUCCCAAACCCAUGUGAACAUACCUAACGUUGCCUCGGCAGGUCGCACCUACCUUGUAGCACCCUACCCUGUAGGGCCUACCCGGGAGAUGCGGGUAAGCCUGCCGGCGGCCCACCAAACUCUGUUUGAUAUUGAAUUCUGAACAUAUAACUAAAUAAGUUAAAACUUUCAACAACGGAUCUCUUGGUUCUGGCAUCGAUGAAGAACGCAGCGAAAUGCGAUAAGUAAUGUGAAUUGCAGAAUUCAGUGAAUCAUCGAAUCUUUGAACGCAUAUUGCGCCCAUUAGUAUUCUAGUGGGCAGGACCGUUCGAGCGUCAUUUCGACCCUUAAGCCUUAGUUGCUUAGUGUUGGGAGCCUACGGCAACGUAGCUCCUCAAAGUUAGUGGCGGAGUUGGUUCACACUCUAGACGUAGUAAUUUUUUAUCUCGCCUAUUAGUUGGACUGAUCCCCUGCCGUAAAACCCCCAACUUAUCAAGGUUGACCUCGAAUCGGUUCAGACAAACUCGCUAAAUUGAAGCAUCUUAGUCAGCGAAGGAAAAGAAACCAACAGGGAUUGCCCUAGUAACGGCGAGUGAAGCGGCAACAGCUCAAAUUUGAAAUCUGGCCCUCGGGUCCGAGUU
Molecule: ribosomal RNA, 636 nt
Filed under: fungal endophyte
Lineage: Eukaryota; Fungi
Description: eukaryotic LSU rRNA
Rfam family: 5.8S ribosomal RNA (bases 180-333)
Source: RNAcentral